AGAGUUUGAUCCUGGCUCAGAAUCAACGCUGGCGGCGUGCCUAACACAUGCAAGUCGAACGCGAGAGGGGCUUCGGCCCCAAUUGAGUGGCGAACGGGUGAGUAACGCGUGGGUGACCUACCUCCGAGUGGGGGAUAACGUCCCGAAAGGGACGCUAAUACCGCAUAACAUCCUGCCUUUGAACAGGUGGAGAUCAAAGCUGGGGAUCGCAAGACCUAGCGCUUGAAGAGGGGCCCGCGUCUGAUUAGCUAGUUGGUGGGGUAAUGGCUCACCAAGGCGACGAUCAGUAUCCGGCCUGAGAGGGCGGACGGACACACUGGGACUGAGACACGGCCCAGACUCCUACGGGAGGCAGCAGUGGGGAAUUGUUCGCAAUGGGCGCAAGCCUGACGACGCAACGCCGCGUGGAGGAUGAAGGUCUUCGGAUUGUAAACUCCUGUUGCCCGGGACGAAAAGCUUUGACCUAACACGUCAAAGUCUGACGGUACCGGGUGAGGAAGCCCCGGCUAACUCUGUGCCAGCAGCCGCGGUAAUACAGAGGGGGCAAGCGUUGUUCGGAAUUACUGGGCGUAAAGGGCGCGUAGGCGGCCUGUUAAGUCGAACGUGAAAUCCCCGGGCUCAACCCGGGAACUGCGUCCGAUACUGGCUGGCUUGAAUCCGGGAGAGGGAUGUGGAAUUCCAGGUGUAGCGGUGAAAUGCGUAGAUAUCUGGAGGAACACCGGUGGCGAAGGCGACAUCCUGGACCGGCAUUGACGCUGAGGCGCGAAAGCUAGGGGAGCAAACGGGAUUAGAUACCCCGG
This 800-nucleotide ribosomal RNA is filed under the name uncultured bacterium. RNAcentral describes it as "bacterial SSU rRNA". It matches the Rfam family "Bacterial small subunit ribosomal RNA", at positions 8 to 790 of the family's 1533-position model. The record is from RNAcentral.